GACGAACGCUGGCGGCGUGCCUAAUACAUGCAAGUCGAGCGAAGUUUUUCUGGUGCUUGCACUAGAAAAACUUAGCGGCGAACGGGUGAGUAACACGUAAAGAACCUGCCUCAUAGACUGGGACAACUAUUGGAAACGAUAGCUAAUACCGGAUAACAGCAUUAACUGCAUGGUUGAUGUUUAAAAGUUGGUUUUGCUAACACUAUGAGAUGGCUUUGCGGUGCAUUAGCUAGUUGGUGGGGUAAAGGCCUACCAAGGCGACGAUGCAUAGCCGACCUGAGAGGGUGAUCGGCCACACUGGGACUGAGACACGGCCCAGACUCCUACGGGAGGCAGCAGUAGGGAAUCUUCCGCAAUGGGCGAAAGCCUGACGGAGCAACGCCGCGUGAGUGAAGAAGGAUUUCGGUUCGUAAAGCUCUGCUGUUAGGGAAGAAUGAUUGUGUAGUAACUAUACACAGUAGAGACGGUACCUAACCAGAAAGCCACGGCUAACUACGUG
This 499-nucleotide ribosomal RNA is filed under the name uncultured bacterium. RNAcentral describes it as "partial 16S ribosomal RNA". It matches the Rfam family "Bacterial small subunit ribosomal RNA", at positions 28 to 507 of the family's 1533-position model. The record is from RNAcentral.